GACGUAGGGGACGAGCGUUGUCCGGAUUUAUUGGGCGUAAAGCGCGCGCAGGCGGUUACGUAAGUCGGGUGUGAAAAUCCGGGGCUCAACCCCGGACCUGCACCCGAGACUGCGUGACUAGAGGUAAGUAGGGGAGAUCGGAAUUCCUGGUGUAGAGGUGAAAUGCGCAGAUAUCAGGAGGAACACCGGUGGCGAAGGCGGAUCUCUGGGCCUUACCUGACGCUGAGGCGCGAAAGCUAGGGGAGCGAACAGG
This 253-nucleotide ribosomal RNA is filed under the name uncultured bacterium. RNAcentral's name for it is "partial 16S ribosomal RNA". It matches the Rfam family "Bacterial small subunit ribosomal RNA", at positions 524 to 776 of the family's 1533-position model. The record is from RNAcentral.